GUAUAUGGCUAUACCACCCUGAAUGAGCCCAGUCUGAUCUUGGAAGCUAAGCAGGGUCAGCCCUGAUUAGUACUUGGAUGGGAGAAUUUACCUACAAAUGUAAUGAAAUAUAUAAAGGUGCUUUAUAGA
RNAcentral lists this ribosomal RNA (129 nucleotides) under Propithecus coquereli (Coquerel's sifaka). The record is from RNAcentral. Lineage: Eukaryota; Metazoa; Chordata; Mammalia; Primates; Indriidae.